Molecule: long non-coding RNA, 266 nt
Filed under: Gossypium raimondii (Peruvian cotton)
Lineage: Eukaryota; Viridiplantae; Streptophyta; Magnoliopsida; Malvales; Malvaceae
Description: long non-coding RNA (GRAI_LNC004008)
Source: RNAcentral
UAGAGCCCAAAUAUGUCCGGGCCCAAACAAAUAAAUGAGCUCGCAUACAGUUCAAACCCAACAAAUAAGUAGCCCAAAACAACCCUGGCCCAAAGCAAAACAAAAAACAAAAAAGAACCCUAGCCCUAAACAGCAAGGAGCGCCGCAGCAAGCCUUCAAGCGCGCCCAGCAGCCCCGCGUCGCGCCCAAGGCCUCCAGCAAGAGUCCAGUCACCGCAGGACUCGGAGAUCGACCCCUCUCCAUGCACGUUUGCUCCCCACAACACC